UCUUAACUCUUAUGCUUUAAGUGCCUCAAGCAUGUCUUCUCUAGGCUCUUGGGUCAUCGACUCAGGAGCUACUGACCACAUGACUCAUAGCCCAAUCAGAUUUAGAACAUACAACCCAUGUCCUAGAAAUAGAAAAGUUACUGUUGCUGAUGAAUCUCCUGUAACUGUUGUAGGCCAAGGAAUAGAUUUGAUUACUGGGAGGACGAUUGGACUUGCUAAGGUGAAAGAUAGCUUUAUUACCUUGAGGAAAUGAGUGGCAACAAGGAGAACAAGAAUCAAUCAUCCCUCAUAUGCUCUUCAAGUAAACAUGUCUCGUAAUAAAUAUGAAAUUUGGCUUUAUCAUUUUUGUUUUGGUCAUCCAUCUUUUAUUCUACUUAAAAGCAUGUUUCCUUCACUUUUUAAAAAUGAAGAUGUUAGUAAUUUUCAUUGUGAUACAUGUGAAAUUGCUAAACAUCACAGAUUUUCAUUUCCAUUGAGUAAUAUAAGAUCUACUAGACCUUUCUCCUUGAUGUAUACCAAUAUUUGGAGGCCUUGUAGAGUUUUUAGUAUUUCUGGAGCAAAAUGGUUUGUCACAUUCAUUGAUGAUUGUACUAGAACUACAUGGUUGUUUCUUAUGAAAGAAAAAUUAGAAGUACACAGUAUUUUUCCAAUGUUUCAUAAAAUGAUUUACACAAAAUUUGAAAAUUUGAUUAAAAAAGUAAGAUCUGACAAUGCAACAGACUACUUCAAUUAAGUUCUCUCAUCCUUUUUCCAAAAAGAGGGUAUAAUACACGAGUCAUCUUAUAUAGAAACACCCCAACAAAAUGGGAUUGCUGAACGAAAAAAUAGACAUUUACUCAAUGUGACACGAGUAAUUUUGAUUCAACAGUUCCAAAAACCUUUUUGGGGGAGGCUGUUUUAACUGCUACACAUUUGAUAAAUAGAGUACCUUCCAAAGUGCUAAAUAAUCAGAGUCUCGCUGCUGCUCUUUCUGUUUUUUACCCUAAUUUUAAUGUCUCUUGCAAACUGUCCCAAAUGUGUUUGGUUGUGUUGCUUUUGUACAUGUUCAUGCACACUAAAGAGGGAAACUUGAUCUAAGAGCUUUAAAAUGUAUUUUUGUGGGAUACUCAAACGCAAAGAAAGGAUACAAGUGUUAUCAUCCACCUUUAAUUUUUUUUUUUUACCUCUACGGAUGUCACAUUUGUUGAAAAUGAGCCUUACUUUCAAAGUAGCAAUCCUCAUCUCCAAGGGGAGAGUUCUUAGGAAAAUAAGGAAUUUCUCCUUGAUUUUCAAAGUCCCACAUCCAACUUGAAGUCUUUCAAACUUGAUGAUACACUUAACUCCAAAGGAGAAUAUGCCAACAGUGAACCUGAACCUAAAUUUGAAUUUGAAGAUGAACAUGCUAGUAAAGAAAUUGAACCUGAUCUUAGAGCUGAGGGAAAAACUGGUUUAAAUCCUACUACACCACUCAAGGUCUACUCAAGGAAGAAAGUUCAUAUUUAUGAACCUGUGCAAGUCCAAGAAUCUGAACCAGAAUCAGGUAUUGAAAAUUUUGCUCCUUUGUGUGUUCAAUCUAACUCUAUUCCUUCAGAAGGCCCCGCGUCAUUCCUACCCGGUCCUUGGUUUACGUUCGCUUUAGAGCAGGAUGAUUCCAAAGUAGAUGCUCUCGGCCGCCCCUGACCUAAUAAGAACGAUUAUCCUUAUGACCAAACAAGGACCAGCUUACUUCUCAAGCGAGAGUUCCACGAUCUCGACCAGCAACUUGUUGAGAGUAAGGGCAUCCAAGCUUGCCCAACCUAGUCAAGGGGGUCGGUGGCAGGUGGGACAUAGACGAUAGAGGUAGUCUCUGCUGUCUCUUUAGUCUGAUCCAACUUCAAAGAAAUUAGAACUGAUGGGGUCACAAGGCAUUAAAAGAUCGGUUCUGAAAGAAUUGCUCAGAGGAGUUAUCAACCUCAGAAUCAUUCCUAUUUUGGAAAACCACACGGAAAGAAAGAUAGGAGAAAGUGACUGCGCUGGAAGAGAUUGAGGGGCAAGUGCCCAUGUCUCUCAGGAAGAUGCAAGUAAGGCAAUUCCUCUAGGAUCAUGAACUAGCAAUGAGAAGCUGACGAUCAUAAGUUGCUGGUGCAGCCAAUGAGUCAGUCAACGGAGCUAAUGUUCAAAAGUUGCAAGGAAAGCCUUGUCCCCAAUGGUUAGGAAAGCUGGUAGAGCUCACGAUCAAGGAUUUGCCGGCGAAGCCAUGUCAAGAGCUUUUAAUGGAGCCAUCAUGCCCUAACUACGAAAUAGAGGAGCAUGCCCGCCUAUGGAAUCAUAUCAAUUUCUAAAGAGAUUCUGGAAAGCCAAGACAUGCACGCGGGUGGGAGGAAUCGAACUGAUUGAUAUCAAAUCGGGCUCACAGCAAAUCCAAGGGCAAACCCUUCCUAUUGCACAAGCCUAUCCAAUAACAGCCAGGUAUCAAUCAGCUUUCAAGCCAUCGAGUUUCAAUCUUAAGCUAAGCCCCCUGUCUUUUAUGAAAAAUUCUUAGCUGAUCUAGUUCAAUUGGUAAGCUAGGGAUUGCUGGUUCUAUGUCCAAAGCUAGCUCUAGGAGAAUUUCUGAACCUAUUUUCUAUGGCUUAAGGAAGGGCAGCAAGCACUAGCAAGGAAGUGGAAGGAGAGACUUUCUUUGUUUUUUAAACUAACUUAACAUUUCCAAAGCGUGGAUUUUUUAAUAUAAGGCGCGUUAGCGCUUUCGUUUUCAAUAAGGACAUUUAGGCUUUACUAAAGGGCUUUUUUCUCAGUGUGCGCAGCCCUAUACAAAGGGCGUUUCCUUUCAAAUGACAACUGCCUCUUCCUGCUGCGAGGGCGUUGCACGAAACCAAACCGCCCCCCACCUGAUCAAGUACCAGUUGCUUCGCUGGUAGGCCUAUUUAGGUUAGGGGGCAUUAUCCCUCAGUUCUUACCCCCAGGUUGCAGGUAGCCCAAAAGCUUCGAUUUGUCAAAGCUGCGCUAAAAGAUGUCCGGGACGGAUGCGACUUCUUCUAACGCUAGAAGACCACAAGAAUAUACCCGGGACCAGAGCAUGUCGUGAAAGAAGCACACUGGGCGGGCGUGCUUCGACUGUGUCUCCGGGGCACAGUUGAAUGUAGAUAUCAUAAACACGAGGUGCAGGAUACCAGGCCGAGAAAAGGAACACGAGAAUGCACUAAGCAUCCAAUCUCAAAUUUUAUGUCCUUCCAUAGACUCUUUCCACAACAUAGAACUUUUCUUACCACCAUCAACUCCAUUUCAAUCCCACAAACACUACAAGAGGCACUUAGAAAUAAGAACUGGUUACAAGCUAUGAAAGAGGAGAUGAAUGCCCUAGAAAGAAAUAAGACUUGGGAAAUUGUAAACCUGCCUAAAAGAAAGAAAACUGUGGGGUGUAAGUGGGUGUUUACUUUGAAAUAUAAAGCCGAUGAUUCAUUAGAAAGGCAUAAAGCUCGAUUGGUCGCAAAAGGAUAUACACAGACAUAUGGGGUAGAUUACCAAGAGACCUUUGCACCCGUAGCAAAAAUGAAUAUUGUGCCUGUUCUUUUGUCUUUAGCUGCUAACUUUGGUUGGUGUUUACAUUAAUUUGAUGUUAAGAAUGCGCUCUUACAUAGGGACUUAGAAGAAGAGAUGUACAUGGAACCUCCACUGGGUUUUAAUGAAAUGUCUAUUGAAAAGAAAGUGUGCAGGUUAAGAAAAGCUUUAUAUGGAUUAAAACAAUCACCAAUGGCUUGGUUCAGAAGAUUUACUAAAAUGAUGCUAGCAAUGCAGUACAAACAAAGUCAAGGAAAUCAUACCUUGUUCAUAAAACAUUCAAAAGGAGUUAUAGCUCUGCUUAUGUAUGUAGAUGACAUCAUCAUCACCGGGAAUGAUCAAAUUGAAAGAGAAACACUAAAAAAGUGCUUAGCAAAGGAGUUCAAAAUUAAAGAACAUGGGAGGCUGAAGUAUUUUUUUGGGAAUUGAGGUGACAUACUCAAGUAAAGGCAUCCUUAUUUCCCAACAAAAGUAUGUCUUAGACUUGCUUAAAGAAACAGACAAUCUUAGAUGCAAGGCAGCAAACACACCCAUUGAGCCUAACUUGACAUUGAGUGAAGAAAAGGACGAUAAGUAAGGGAAGAUAUUAGUGGUUGGUUGGAAAACUAAUAUACUUAUCCCAUACAAGGCUGGACAAUAGCAUUUGCUGUAAAUAUAGUAAGCCAAUUUAUGCAUAAUCUAAAAGAGAAACAUUUGCAGGUUGUCAACAAAAUUUUGUCCUAUCUCAAAAGGACAUCGGGUAGAGGAAUUUUGUUCAAGAAAAAUGAAGAAUUACUCAUUAAGGCAUAUAUCGAUGCUGAUUAUACAAGUUUUGUUGUAGAUCGUAGAUCAACUUUAGGAUAUUGUACAUUCCUUGGUGGGAACCUAGUGACAUGGAGGAGUAAGAAACAAUCGGUUGUUACAAGAUCAAGUGUUGAAGCAGAGUUUAGGAUUAUGGCUCAUGGAGUUUGUGAAUUGCUAUGACUCAAAAUAAUACUUGAUGACCUUAAAAUCAAGUGGGAAGGACCUAUGAAACUCUAUUGCAAUAACAAGUUUGCCAUCAACAUUGCACAUAAUCUAGUGCAACAUGAUCGCACAAAACACAUCAAAGUAGACAGACACUUUAUUAAAAAAAAGCUGGACAAUGACAUUAUUUGCACUCUAUAUACAACAUCAAAUGAUCAAUUGGCAGAUGUCUUAACUAAGGGAAUGCCUACUUCCAACUUUGAAGACAUUACAUACAAGAUGGGAAUGAAAAAUAUCUAUUGACCAUUUUGAGGAAGAGUGUUGAAAAUCUAAAAUAUUUUUCCUGUACAGUUAUAAAAUCUAUGUAUAUCCCAUGAUUUCUGCUUUAUUUUAGGUUAGAAUAAUUUACUUCUAAUGUAUUUUAGGAUAGAAUAAAUUAACUCCUAAUUUUUGGGAGUUUACAGAUUUUAUAGAAUUGACAAAAUUCAACUUCCAUUUGUAUAAAUAUUGCACAGCCUGGGCCUAGAAUAAUAUAUAACAAAAGCAAUUCAGUUCU
Molecule: long non-coding RNA, 5017 nt
Organism: Ricinus communis (castor bean)
Lineage: Eukaryota; Viridiplantae; Streptophyta; Magnoliopsida; Malpighiales; Euphorbiaceae
Exons: 2
Source: RefSeq, a predicted model, not a curated record